AAGACAAGAACCCAUCUAGUUAGCCGAGGAGAUUGCCUGAAACCAAACCGAGUUCCCAAGGGACGUGCACAGAAACCCUUCGAAUGGAACAGGCAAGUCAUCCUUGGCUACCACACUGAACUCUUUAUCU
Molecule: non-coding RNA, 130 nt
Organism: Punica granatum (pomegranate)
Lineage: Eukaryota; Viridiplantae; Streptophyta; Magnoliopsida; Myrtales; Lythraceae
Source: Rfam